Molecule: long non-coding RNA, 167 nt
Organism: Tachysurus fulvidraco (yellow catfish)
Lineage: Eukaryota; Metazoa; Chordata; Actinopteri; Siluriformes; Bagridae
Exons: 2
Source: RefSeq, a predicted model, not a curated record
GAAAUCAGAAGCUGAAGAGAUGUGGAGAAGGUGAUACAGGAUCAAAGAGAACCUCAGGAGGGAUAUGGGCUUGAUAAGUGUGUGUGUGUGUGUGUGUGUGUGUGUGUGUGUGUGUGUGUGUGUGUGUGUGUGUGUGUGUGUGUGUGUGUGUGUGUGUGUGUGUGUGU